UGGGGGAUAUUGCACAAUGGGAGAAAGCCUGAUGCAGCGACGCCGCGUGGGGGAUGAAGGCCUUCGGGUUGUAAACUUCUUUUGCUCUGAACAAGGCAUGCCUUUGGGGUGUGUUGAGUGUAGGGGUUGAUUAGCGCCGGCUAACUACGUGCCAGCAGCCGCGGUAAUACGUAGGGCGCGAGCGUUGUCCGGAAUUAUUGGGCGUAAAGGGCUUGUAGGUGGCUGGUUGCGUCUGUCGUGAAAGCUCAUGGCUUAACUGUGGGUUUGCGGUGGGUACGGGCUGGCUUGAGUGCAGUAGGGGAGGCUGGAAUUCCUGGUGUAGCGGUGGAAUGCGCAGAUAUCAGGAGGAAUACCGGUGGCGAAGGCGGGUCUCUGGGCUGUUACUGACGCUGAGGAGCGAAAGCGUGGGGAGCGAACAGG
RNAcentral lists this ribosomal RNA (420 nucleotides) under Fusobacteriota bacterium. Its description in RNAcentral is "Fusobacteria bacterium partial 16S ribosomal RNA". It matches the Rfam family "Bacterial small subunit ribosomal RNA", at positions 355 to 776 of the family's 1533-position model. The record is from RNAcentral. Lineage: Bacteria; Fusobacteriati; Fusobacteriota.